UCUUAUGUACAUUUUAUACAUGAUACACUAAUCUGAUGUGCAAGAUCCAUUAAUCUGAUGCGCGAGAUAUAUUAAUUUGAUGCAUUCAAACAUUAAUCUGAUGCAUGAAAAUGAGGGAUUUUGGAAAUUUGUAAACCUAAUAGGGGAUAAUGGUAAUAAGAAAACUUAAAUGUGAGAUUUCUAUCAUUUUCCCUUUAUUUAAUGCAAGGAUAAAAUUGUAACCCAGAGCUUUCCACUUUUAGUAUUAAUAUGAUAUGAUAUGAUUAACUAUCACACGGAAGAUUACUUCAUCUUAAUUUCGUGCAAGAGGUUAGCCCAAUGUGAGGCAGUCAAGUCACAUUUAACGCAAUCCUUUCGCAGCCUAGUCUGCCUAAAGUUUUAAGGACAUUUUUUUUCUGCUUUAGAUUAUUUUGCAGUAUGUAUUCAACACUGAAAUGAACACAGAAUCAUACGGUCAAACCCAACCUUUUUAUUAAUAAUCAAAACAAAUACAAAGGACUCACUCGUCAGGAUAACAAGUUUAUCUCUACUUCGACGUAAGACACAAUCACAAGUCGAUUGUUGUCUUUGACACCUUUUAAAACCCUCUCGUUUUUUUCUAAGUGUAUUAGUGAAAUUCCUGACUUAAUCCUUCCUCUUUCACUCUUAGGAUAACAAGCCUAUCCUCUCUAAAUUAGUCCAACAUACAAGGCUGUCCAUUUAUAGAUCAUGUGGCAACCUUGUGGUUUACAUUGCAUAGUGUUGCGACACAUGUCUAACACUUGUCAAGCCCUUAACCUACUAAAUUAAACUACAGUUGACACCCCCAAUUGAUAAGACACUACAUAUUUUGAAUUCAAAAAGCAUAUCCAAGUACAAUGAAUCUAGACACAAGCGGUUACAAAAAGGUAACCGCCGCAUGUGCUUGGCAUGUGACUUUGCUAAUUGAAUGGCCCUUUGCUGCCAUUUUCCUCCAUAAUUGUGACUCUAAUACAAUGUAUAAACUUUUUAUAGUCAUUAUUUUAUCAAAGUCCACCUGAAUCCAUCUGCCCAUUUUCCAUGCUUGCGCACUACCAACGCCUUGCUGCUGCCUUGCCUGCGUUUGCCUUGGACAUGCUAGCUUUUUAUUCACUCGUGCCAUUCACUAUUUUCUUGCUGCGUUUCAUCCAUAUUUGACUAUGCUUUAAUUUAGCUCGGCUCGAUAUUCCUGUACUUGACUAGACCAUGUGUUUUUCUUAUGCCAAACCUACCACAAAUGAUGCCGGUCAGCGCCCAUGACAUGUAACGGCCUGUUGCCUUGCCAUCGUCUAUGUAAUGUCAUGACACUGCCUUUCCAGCAUUAUUUCGUACAAUUAGUCCAUGUUAACACUUUUCUCAAACAACGUAUGAUUGAUUCCACCCACACUUUGUCCCUUAACAAAGUCAUUCAUGCCAACCCUUUGUCGCCAUUGUGCCUAUGUCAAGUAACUUGGUCAGGACCCUUACAAGCUUUCCCCCACCCAAGGGAACUCCACUUACUCGUCAAGGAUUUCUCUCAUCUCACCCUAUUUGGGUUCCGGACAAGAAUCAUAUCUUGCCCAUCAUCUUCAACUUACGCCAAAGUGUUUACAUUUGACGUUGCUGCCUCAUUUUUUCUUUUCUAUUUCCAAUUCGGCAGCAAGCAUAGUAUUCACUUUCACUUGCACCUUACAGUCCCUUAUUUUUAAAUGUAGACCCCCACAAGUAAAGCAUCCCGCCAACUUUCCCUUCUAUUUUGGAAAGGAAGACCCCCCUUGUCUAGUUUUCCCACAUUUCUCUUCCUUUUCAACAGAUUGACCCUUCUGGUUUUUUCUUCCACUCCUUCCCCUUAUCCUUCUGUUUGAAGUGUGAAGCAUCCCUUGGAUCGUCACCCUCAUCGAAUUUAGCCAACUUAUUUACUUCCACUAUGACAGAAUUAAGAGUUUGAAAAUUUUUACUUCUUAAUUCUCUUUGUGUCUAUCUUUUCAACCCGCUUAUGAAAUAGUGCAACUUGUCUUCCUCAACCAUGUUGCCUAUGUUCAACUCAAGGAUGAAAAAUCCUUGAUAUAAGCCCUCACGGUGCUGCUUUGUUUCAAUCACUGCAACCUGUCCCUUGCCAACCAAGACGAAUUACUUCGAAGAAAUUGAGUUUUCAAUUUUUUCUUCAACAUUUCCCACGUUUCAAUUUGUGGUAGAUUCGAACCUUCCAAUUCACCCACCCCUGUUCUCCACCAAACCUUGGCAUCAUCAGUUAAGUACAUUGUUGUGCCUGACUCCUUUUCACCAUCCAGAACCUUUGCUGCCUUGAAAGUAGUUUUUGACAUCCCAAAGAAAGUUCUCCAAUUCCUUAGAACUCCUUACACCAUUAUAAGCCUUAGGUUCUUGAACCUUCAUCCUUAUGAGGUUAAUUUUCCCUUGUAGUGCCCGACAUAGAAGAAGAACUUCACCACGCAAGUCUUCCUUUUCUUUGCGAACGAGUUUCAUCUCUUGUUAGGCAAUUUCUUAUUUGACUGCAUAUUUUGCCUCCAACAACAAAACUUUUUCGUUCAAGGCCUCCUUGGUCAAGGUUAACUUUGCAUUAAUACUUUGAAUUUGAGUGAUCAGAUCAACCAAGUCCAACACAUUGUUUGUCCCACCAAUUAGCGCUUCCAAUCAUGUCACCUCUCCCGUAGUUCAGCAUUUCCACCAGCCAUUGAGUAAUCUAAGCAAUGAUCUGAUACCAGAUUGUCACACGGGCAGAUUACUUCACCAUAAUUUCAUUCAAGAGGUUAUCCCAAUGUGAGGCUAUCAAGUCCCACUUAACUCAUUCCUUUCGCAGCCUAGUCUGCCUAAAGUUAUAAAGACAUUUUUCUUUUUCUGCCUUAGAUUACUUUUCAGUCUUUCAACAAUGAAAUGAACAUAUAAACAUAUGGGCAAACCCAAUCUUUAUAUUAAUAAUCAAAACAAAUACAAAUGACUCACUCGUUAGGGUAGCAAGUCUAUCCCAACUUCGAAUUCGACUUCGACUUAAGGCACAAUCACAAGUUGAUUAUUUUCUUUGACACCUUUUAAAACCCUCACAUUUUGUUUACUUAUCUUAUUGAAAUUCCGUAAUUAAUCCUCCCUCUUUAACACUUAGGAUAACAAGUCUAUCCUCUAUAAAUUCGUUCAACACACAAGGCUAUCCAUUUAUAGAACAUGUGGCAACUGUGUGUUUUACAUUGCAUAGUGUUGUUACACAUGUCUAAAACUUGUCAAGCCCUUAUACCACUAAAUUAGACUUCAGUUGACGCCCCCAAAUAAUAAGGAAUUUGAAAUUUUCAAUUCAAGCGGUUACAAAAAUAUAAUUGCCGCAUGUGCUUGGAAUGUGACUUUGCUAAUUGGAUUUCGGCCUUUUGCUGACAUUUUCCUCCAAAAUUUUGGCUCCAAUAUAAUUUAUAAACAUUGUAUAGUCAUUAUUUAUCAAAUUCCACCCAAAUCCAUCCUCCCAUUUUCCAUGCCUGCGCACCACCAACACUUUGCCGCGACCUUGCCUACGUUUGCCUUGGACAUGCUAAAUUUUUAUUUACUCGUGCCGUUCACUGUCUUGCUGCGUUUCAUCCAUAUUUGAAUAUGCUUGAAUUAAUUUCAGCUCUAUUUUCCCGCACUUGACCAGACCAUGUGUUUUUCUCAUGCCAAACCUAUCCACAAUUGAUGUCGGUCAUCGUCCAUGACAUGUCAGGGCGUGUUGCCUAGCCAACGUCCAUUUCAUAUCAUGACACUGCCUUUAAAACAUUAUUUGGUACAAUUAGGACAUGUUAACACUUUACUCAAACAACACAUGAUUGAUUCCACUCGCACUUUGGCCCUUGACAAAAUCAUUCAUGCCAACCCUUUGCCGCCACCGUGCCUAUGUCGAGCAACUUGGUCAGGACCAUUACAAACCAAAGAUUUUGAGCACACAAUAUUUAGCCCAUGAUAUUUUACAAAAGUGGGUUUCUUAUUAUUUAAGUCCUUACAUGUUCAAAAGAUAAAGAUGAUGGUGGAUAGUUACAAUUUUCUUAAAUGGACGAAUCCCUAAUAAAAACUUUCCUCCCUCAUUUCCAAUUUUUCCUCCACCAAACCACCAUAUUUCCUCCAGUACACCUCACUCCCUUCAAACUCUUCUUCUCCGAAAAAUACAAACCAAAACCCCAAUCAUUCCAGUUACAAAACAAUAACCAACAACAACGAUCAAUGCCAUCUCCACGAAGCUUCAGGACCAGACGAUCCCAAGUUCUUUCCCUUUAACCCUUUUUGAUAUUUUGUCUAUGUUUUGCAGAUCAAAGCUCCAUCAAACAAUGAGCUCAAAGCUCUGAACUCCAUCUCCGCAUGGCUCUAACUUUGUUAAACAAAAAUCAAAGUGCCGUGGUAACUCUAACUUCAGUGUAUAACAACCAGUCAUCGCAAAGAUAAAUCCUUCGUGACUCCGACAUAAGACAAUUGUCUUCUCCUUUUUUUUGUUGGUAUUUGGAUAGAGGAGCAAAGAAUGGACACUAAUGAGCAAAAAGGAAUGAGGCAACUGUAAGAACGAAGAAAAGAAGGUUUGUUGAUCGCCUAAACCAUUGGGCGACUUGCCGAAUGAACAUGAUCUUGCCUAAAGUUCUAGUGUGCCUAACCCUGAAAGAGAAAAUCAAGUUGGUGUGUUGCUGUACGGUUUCGCAAUGCAGUGUUGGAUCGUAAAAAGGUUACAUAACUUGAGGAUGCUAAAGGCCAUAGCAAAAACGCGAUGGAAUUGUUGACCAAAGGCGGAUCACCAAGUGGAUCGGCAAUCCUCACUUACUGCACCGAAUGGUCCUUCGCAGCAGUUUUGUGGCGACUAUAAAUACAUUUUUAAAUAUAUAUUUUGAAUCUAGUUUCUUAUCAAUCAGUUUUCAUAGUUUCAUAGUUUAGAACUGAGAGUAUUGAGACAAUAUUUUUCUUAGCUUUGAAGAUUUGAAGUUUUCUAUUUUUGAGAAAUUCGAAGUGGGUCUUUGAGAAUCUUUAAUUUGGAUCUUUGUAAAGACGAAAUUAAUCUUACCCAGUUGAUGAGAAAACGCAAUUUGGUAACAA
Molecule: long non-coding RNA, 5025 nt
Organism: Solanum pennellii
Lineage: Eukaryota; Viridiplantae; Streptophyta; Magnoliopsida; Solanales; Solanaceae
Exons: 2
Source: RefSeq, a predicted model, not a curated record